Molecule: long non-coding RNA, 1951 nt
Organism: Odocoileus virginianus texanus
Lineage: Eukaryota; Metazoa; Chordata; Mammalia; Artiodactyla; Cervidae
Source: RefSeq, a predicted model, not a curated record
GAGUCUGACACAACUGACAGACUUUCACUAGUUACAUUGAGAGAACCAAGUCUCUGGACCCUGAAUUUAUCUGCCAUUCGCUCUGAGGAUCUGCAGGAAAGGGCUUGGAUUUGUGAAGGGGAAGCUGUCUGCAGCUGAGACACCUGGAAGGACCAACAGCUGGGGGCUGUGUGCUGACAACAUGCCCAGCAGCUGCAGCAACAAGUUUUCCAUUAAAGUGGGAUCUGGAUGGCAGGACUCGAUGAUCAAAUGCAGUCACUAUUGUGCAUCACAGGAGAUGGGAAAGGCAGACAGUGGGGCUUCAACAUGCAGGGUGCAGGCCAGGGCCCCUACACCAUCUGUUUAAUCCACCACAAGUGUGUCCAGCAGCUUCAGCCAAAACAGGCAGGAGAUGUCCUUUCGUACAAGGUGAUCAAAGGUCCACGUGCACUGAUGGAAGCCGAGGGCACACUCAGAUGCAGAGCUGACCUGAGAAACCGUCCAGAGACACCCCGUGGUUCUUGGGAAGCGGGAUUGGGAGGGUGAAGCAUGCCUUACAGUCACUUGCUGCCACGUUCAUUUCUCUGUGAAUGGGGGCCUUUAGCCUGAAGGUCUUGGUGUUUGUGGGUUCCCCAGCUCCCCUGACCUCACUGGCACAGAGGGUCUCAUCUUCCUAUGAACCUGACACUAGUGUUACUAAUGCCAUAUCUAUUCAUUCCACUCAUCGACUAUGUAUUGAAUGUCUUACUGUGUUUACAAGACAUUGGGAAUAAAACAAGGAACUGCUCCUGCCCUCUUGAUUCUUAUGAUCGGUGGGGAAGAUCUUGUUAUUCACAGCCUUGUCGUGCUGAAGGGGCUUGCAUAACUCAAGGAAGCUAUGAGCCAUACUGGGCAGGGCUACCCAAGAUGGACAGGGGUCAUAGUGAAGGGUUCUGACAAAACGGGGUCCACUGGAGGAGGGAUGGCAAACCAGUCCAGUGUUCUUGCCGUGAGAACCUCAUGAACAGUAUGAAAAGAUGAGGAAGAUAGGCAUUCAUUAAUUCAUAAAAAUGUAAAGAUGCAACUAUGAUCAAUGUCUCAAAAGUAAAGAACUUGGUGCGGGAAUUCAGUCUAAAAGAAGCACCUGCCUCAGUGAGGGGGUAUCAGGAAUUCAGCUGAGUGGAAAAAGACAAGCAAGAUUAACCAGGUGAAGAGCAGAAUGAGGGACAUUCCAGGCGAGAAGGAACAGAAUGUGCAAAGGCUCAUCGGGAGGUGGUUGCUGCUGUUUAAUCACUAAGUCGUGUCGGAUUCUUCUGCAACUCUGUGGACUGCAGCCCACCAGGCUCGGAAGCAUGUAACGAGGGACUAAAGAAAAAGGCAGUGUAACCGGAAGAGGGAGAAGGAGGACUUCUGAAAAUCUAGUGGAACCACGGCAGCUGAGAACUAACGUAGCAACAGUAGAUUUGAAGAAAAGGGCAAUUGGAGAGAAAACAGAAGGGAUUUGAUGAUAAUUUGGGCAUCAGUUGAGAGAAAAGGAAAAAUCAAAAAUGACUCCUAUGCUCUCAAGCUGAAUCCGUUAAGUGGUAACAUGCAUGGAUUCAGGAAAGUCUCAUGACUGUGUGUCGUGUUGGGGGAAGAUGUGUGGUGUGGGAGGCUGUGUGUCAUGUUGGGAGUUCGAGGGGCUUUUCUGGGAGGAGGAAAUUCAGGAAUUUUGUUUGGGUUGCACUAAGUUCAAGUGUUCUCUGUGACACCCUAAUGAAUAAAUCAGGGAGUUGAAGUGGAUCCGGACUCAGAAGAAAGGCCUGGGCUUUAGAAAAAUUUGAAAACGACCACUAUCAAAAUGGUACUUAAACAGAGAAGAACGGAAACACUCACCUAGGAGAAAGUUAAUAUCUAAGCCUCAGGGAGCCUUAACAGGUUUGAAGUUUGGUAAAGAAGGAGGAGGGCUUCCCUGGUGGCUCACUGGUAAAGAAUCUGCCUGCAAUGCAGGAGA